Gymnodraco acuticeps is the source of this 1694-nucleotide long non-coding RNA. RefSeq lists it as uncharacterized. The transcript is spliced from 4 exons. Lineage: Eukaryota; Metazoa; Chordata; Actinopteri; Perciformes; Bathydraconidae. The record is from RefSeq and is a predicted model, not a curated record.
CAAAAACGUUCCCAUACUACAUUAAACCUCCAGUCAAACAUCCUCAACAUUUCCAUCUGUCAGCUCAAAAACACGAGCUUUUUAAGGGGCACUUGAAUGCACCAUAUUCCGCUUUCCUGGAAAACAUUUGGAGCUUCUUUGGAAUAGAAAAACACGAGCACAUCCAAAAGUGUGAUUAAUCUGCGAAACGGGCGUGAAAUGUGAUUCCAAGAACUAUAAAAGGAACAAAAUAAUCCAAAACAAGAAAAGAAACACCACAACACACCUGCAGCUGAACGCACACUUCCAAGCACUCAGUAAAGUAUACAAAAGCCAAACAUCUCUCCACAGACACGUAAAUAAACUCAGAUAAAGUUGUACUAAAAGACAAAAACAUGUUUAUUUUCCAACCCUGAAAUAAAAAAAUUCUUAAAAGGAGUUUAUACUGUCAGAUCUGGAUUUAAAAUGGUAGAACAUGUGAGUGUGUGUUACUGGGAGGAGUCUGGAGUUCCUGUAUCCAGCUGCUGUGUGUUUGGAGGAUCACUGCCAUCAGGCUGAUCUCCGAGCAGCCUCAGAGUGAGAUGAAGGGGAUCAAUCGGCAUCAGAUCUGUCACACCUUUUACAAUGAAACCAGUUGGAUCAGCUGAUGCAGAGGAGCUCAGACUAGCAGUACAAUUUGAGAUGAAGAGGAGAGCCUGAAGACUUUUUCCACGGAACAAACCGAAGGUGGUCAUCAUGUCUCUGUGGAUGAUCCUUCCCGUCAGCCUGCCUGUCUUCACCAUCACUGGGAUAUGGGUCGUAUAUGCAAUGUCCCUGUACAACCAGCAUGUCUGUCCUGUCCAUAACUGGCUUUACAAUGAGUCAUGUGAGGAGCAGCUCCCACUACAGAGGGGUCCAGUCCUGUGCUGCACCCUGGACAACAUACCACUCAUCAGGUCAGUGAACCCACCUCUGCAUACAUAUGUUAGUCAUUCUGUUUUUGUAUAACUCCUAUUAUAUAGUACAUAUGUCAGUUUCCUGUAUGUGAUCCUCAAUGAACCAAACAAUAGAACAGUGUUGACAUCGAGACGGCGGUUUCUUGAAGCCACAAUGACGAAACGAACCGAGGAUGAUCCUUUUUCCUCUCUCAGCAUAACAAUAAUAAUACAACAAUACACAUGUGGUGGCGGGUAUCCACUGAUGGUGAAAUAGCAGCUUGCCUCACUCUGGUCUGUGGUUUUCAACCAGUUAUAUUUAUAUGGUCUGGGCUUCUUUAUUCUAACCAUGCUUAGGUGCUUAACUUUUGCAUUUGUUUUUACUCUUUUUUUUGUUGAAACCCAAAUAGGAAAUCAAGAACAUUGUGUUCUACUUGGCACACAGGCCUGUGAUUAUGAAAAAAACUAGUAUGAGUCAUGGACAGCAUGUGAAAUAAAAGACAUUUAAGUGGUUGCAACAGAACAUUCAUCAAUCUUAAUCUGUUGAAUAUUGUGCACUGAUGUAAUGCUAUUUUUCCAGAAUUAAUACAGUAAGCACCAUGGUUACGCUCAGGUGAAGUCUUUAAAGUGAAGGAGGUUAUAUCCAGGGGUGCACAUAACUGUUACGCAGGUACGCAUGCACGGCAACAAUCUGAAAUGCGUACCGUCACUUGUGUCACAAAGCGCAUUUUCGUACCGACGUACUUGUGAAGCUUAGAGAUGGCAAAUCCGGAUCCUUUUACGGACUCAGGGUAUUCUGAG